UUUUAUUAACUAACGAGUUUAUUGGUAGAUAUCCCAAAGAUGAUCAAGGUGUUAAAGACUAAAUUGUUUCAUAAUGUUUCAAUAUUCCAGCAAGUUCAGUGACAUUUAUGAUGAAGAAUAUUUUGUCAAUACCUUGAAAAAUGAUGUACGGGUGGUUGAAAAGAUUCCCGAGUACCUGAUGGAAAGAUUUGGCAGCAACAUGACAAAUGUUUUCAAUUUCAGGAUCAAGGCAUGGUCAUCCAUUCAGUAUUACAGGGAUGUGGUACUUCCAAAGUUACUUGAAGAAAAGUGAGUUACGAAUCUUAUGAUAUUUGUUGUAUGAAAUUAUUGCUUAUUAUCAUUGAUCUCUGAUGGUUAAAUCAUUUAGAGUAAUUGGUAUUUUGUCCAUGGUAUUUGGAAAAAGGAGGCAUUGCCAAAAGUUGGUAUUAGGAAAUUUGUUAACAGAAAACACAAUAGUCUAAAUCCAUACCUAUUAAUGACUUUUUAAUCUAUGUGCCUCAACCUUAAACAUCUAGAUAUGUCGAAUGUUGGGGUUAGUGUUUAUAACUUAUAUUUAUCAAUUCAACACUUAUCGUUGAAGUUGUGGGAUUUUAGAGAAAAAGAUGAGAGAAAAUAAUAAGAGUUUGAAUAUUAUUAAUAAUAGCUUAAUGUUGACUUCAUUACAAAAGACUCAAUACUAAUCUCUAUUUAUAGAGAAACAUAGACUCAAUCCUAAAUAAGGAAUAAAUCAUAAUAAUAAUGAGAGAUAUUCUAAGAUAUCUCUAUGAUUAUAAAUUGAUCCUAAGAAAUAACUCAAGAUAUUCUAAUAUAAUAUAAAAGAUCUUAUAAGAUAUUUUCUAAUAUUCUACCACUUAUCAUUGUUCUUUUUUUUGUCUUGCAGAACAUAUAAUACUUUUGUAUUUGUUCUAAUUUAAAUUUUCACAUGACUUGGUGGUUUCAUAUUUUUGUCUGUUUAUUAUUGAAUAUAUAUAUAUAUAGGAGAAGUCAAAUUACAUCCAAAGAGUUACACUAAGAAUUAGACUUGUUUAAUAACAUCGUGUUCGAUGAAUAUUUUUCAAAAUCAACCGUUGGAUUGAAAACCACUAUUAUAUAGAUCAUAUUUAUAAAUUUUGACAUUAAUCCAUAAUAAUUUCCCAAGUCAUUAUGUUGCGUUAAGAUCAAUGUCAACAAUAUAAUUAUAUAUAAUGUUAAUUUUGAUGCAUGUUGAUGACAUACAUAGCAUAUGGAAAGAUCCUAGGUAUGUUUGUUUUUCUAUCUUUUAAUUUGAGUUUUUCUAGGAUUGGGUGCUCUACACCACUAUGUUUUAUGGUUCUUAUAAAAUUACACUGUUUUAUUAACUAACGAGUUUAUUGGUAGAUAUCCCAAAGAUGAUCAAGGUGUUAAAGACUAAAUUGUUUCAUAAUGUUUCAAUAUUCCAGCAAGUUCAGUGACAUUUAUGAUGAAGAAUAUUUUGUCAAUACCUUGAAAAAUGAUGUACGGGUGGUUGAAAAGAUUCCCGAGUACCUGAUGGAAAGAUUUGGCAGCAACAUGACAAAUGUUUUCAAUUUCAGGAUCAAGGCAUGGUCAUCCAUUCAGUAUUACAGGGAUGUGGUACUUCCAAAGUUACUUGAAGAAAAGUGAGUUACGAAUCUUAUGAUAUUUGUUGUAUGAAAUUAUUGCUUAUUAUCAUUGAUCUCUGAUGGUUAAAUCAUUUAGAGUAAUUGGUAUUUUGUCCAUGGUAUUUGGAAAAAGG
This 1732-nucleotide long non-coding RNA is filed under the name Cicer arietinum (chickpea). Its description in RNAcentral is "long non-coding RNA (CARI_LNC001250)". The record is from RNAcentral. Lineage: Eukaryota; Viridiplantae; Streptophyta; Magnoliopsida; Fabales; Fabaceae.